GAUGAAGAACGUAGCGAAAUGCGAUAAGUAGUGUGAAUUGCAGAAUUCAGUGAAUCAUCGAAUCUUUGAACGCACAUUGCGCCCAUUAGUAUUCUAGUGGGCAUGCCUGUUCGAGCGUCAUUUCAACCCUUAAGCCUCUAUUGCUUAGCGUUGGGAGCCUACCUACCCGGUAGAUCCUCAAAGUUAGCUGGCAGGGUCGAGGUUCGCCCUAAGCGUAGUAGUUCUUUCUCGCUUCUGCGGCUGCCUAGGCCAUCGCCACAAGCCUUUUAAACUUCAAUGGUUGACCUCGGAUCAGGUAGGAAUACCCGCUGAACUUAAGCAUAUCAAUAAGCGGAGGA
Molecule: unclassified non-coding RNA, 338 nt
Filed under: soil metagenome
Description: partial contains 5.8S ribosomal RNA, internal transcribed spacer 2, and large subunit ribosomal RNA
Rfam family: 5.8S ribosomal RNA (bases 1-120)
Source: RNAcentral